UUGAUCUCCCAACCCCAAUGUUGCAUAAGCAACUUCGGUCUGUCAUGGAGAUGGAGGCGGCUCUCGACAAAUCUUCC
RNAcentral lists this ribosomal RNA (77 nucleotides) under Cryptomonas paramaecium. Its description in RNAcentral is "Cryptomonas paramecium partial Eukaryotic small subunit ribosomal RNA". Lineage: Eukaryota; Cryptophyceae; Cryptomonadales; Cryptomonadaceae. The record is from RNAcentral.